RNA transcript from Acinonyx jubatus (cheetah), 6640 nucleotides. It is a transcript of the gene named peroxisomal biogenesis factor 3, with no coding region annotated. The record is from RefSeq and is a predicted model, not a curated record. Lineage: Eukaryota; Metazoa; Chordata; Mammalia; Carnivora; Felidae. The transcript has 14 exons.
AGCGCAGCUGCUCGCCUGUAGUCCACGCCCCCUCCCCGCCCCGGUGACAGUCUCUGCGGAAAGUCGCGUUUGUGAUUUCUGGAGAGCACCGAGCGGGACUACGGAGGUGCUGCCUGGUCUUUGGGGCCAAGUGACGAGGAAACGCUUUCCUGGCGAACAGCCCCUCCCCACCCCCGCCGCCCUUAGACAGCCCGCACCUUCAGGGUCUGAAGAUGCUGAGCUCUAUGUGGAAUUUUCUAAAACGUCACAAAAAGAAAUGCAUCUUCCUGGGCACAGUGCUCGGAGGAGUAUAUAUCCUGGGAAAAUAUGGACAGAAGAAAAUCAGAGAAAUACAAGAAAGAGAAGCUGCAGAAUACAUUGCUCAAGCACGACGACAGUAUCAUUUUGAAAGUAACCAGAGGACUUGCAAUAUGACCGUGCUGUCCAUGCUUCCAACCCUGAGAGAGGCCUUAAUGCAGCAACUCAAUUCCGAGAGCCUCACGGCUCUGCUAAAAAACAGGCCUUCAAACAAGUUAGAAAUAUGGGAGGAUCUAAAGAUAAUAAGUUUCACAAGAAGUAUCGUAGCAGUAUACAGUACUUGUAUGCUGGUUGUUCUUUUGCGAGUCCAGUUAAACAUAAUUGGUGGAUAUAUUUACCUGGAUAAUGCAGCAGUUGGCAAAAAUGGCACUACAGUUCUUGCUCCCCCAGAUGUCCAACAGCAGUAUUUAUCAAGUAUUCAACACCUCCUUGGAGAUGGCCUGACAGAAUUGAUCACUGUCAUUAAACAAGCUGUGCAGAAGAUUUUAGGAAGUGUUUCUCUUAAACAUUCUUUGUCCCUCCUGGACUUGGAGCAAAAACUCAAAGAAAUCCGAGAUCUCGUGGAGCAGCAUAAACCUUCUUCUUGGGUUAAUAAAGACGGAUCCAAAUCUUUGUUAUGCCGUUAUAUGAUGCCAGACGAAGAAACUCCAUUAGCAGUUCAGGCCUGUGGGCUUUCUCCUAGAGAUGUCACCACUAUUAAACUACUCAAUGAAACCAGAGACAUGUUGGAAAGUCCAGAUUUUAGUACAGUUUUGAAUACAUGUUUAAACCGAGGUUUUAGCAGACUGCUAGACAACAUGGCUGAGUUCUUUCGACCUACUGAACAGGAACUGCAACGUAGCGACUCCAUGAGUAGUCUUUCCAGUGUCAGCCUGCCAUUAGCUAAGAUAAUUCCAAUAGUAAAUGGACAGAUCCAUUCAGUUUGCAGUGAAACACCUAGUCAUUUUGUUCAGGAUCUGUUGAUGAUGGAGCAAGUGAAAGACUUUGCUGCUAAUGUGUAUGAAGCUUUUAGUACUCCUCUACAACUGGAGAAAUGAUUUCUUUUCCUUCAAGAAAAACUACAAUGGAAUUCAUUUACUUUUAAAAAUACACUGAAUGAAUCAACUAUAUAUAGGUAUUAACCCAGGAUUUCAUCCAAGGAAUAUUUGAGACUGAACAGGUGUGGCCUUGUAAAAAAAAAAAAAAAAAAAAAAAAAAAAGGAUCGUAUUCUGAUCAGCUGACAAUUUUCACCUGGAGUCACCUGCGUCUGUGGCGCCGUGGCAGUUGAAGAGAUGAUCAGAGUUGAGCUUUUAAUCAAAGUCAAGUGAGUAUGACAGAGAAAGAGUGUAUGUCAUGGAGAGACAAGCCACAGAAUCUGACCUGGAUAAGGAAAAGGGCUGAGGAACAGAAACAAAGUGAGGGGGUCACAGAUUGGUAUCAUCAGUGGAUUACAGAUCCUUUCGGAAGCCAAAGUGCUAUGUGGAGGGAGCUGAAAUUUAAAAGGUGGUUGGGAGUGGCUCAGUCGGUUGAGCGUUGGACUUCAGCUCAGGUCAUGAUCUCCCAGUCUGUGAGUUCGAGCCCCGUGUCAGGCUCUGUGCUGACGGCUCGGAGCCUGGAGCCUGCUUUGGAUUCUGGGUCUCCCUCUCUCUCUGCCCCUCCCCCACUCAUGCUCUGUCUCAAAAAUAAAUAAAAACAUUAAAAAAAAUUUGUUUUAAAAAGGUGUUUGGGAGACAGCAUAAUGCUUCAAACUGAGAUCAUGGAAUAAGUGCAAUUAUUGGUAAUACAGGAUCUAAGACAUGACCCAGAAAGGAGGUAGCAAAGGUAGAACACACAAGAUGCUCAGAAGAGAGAGUACAAGAACUCAGGGGGCAGCAAAUUUUUAAAAAUGUGAAUACAGGUGUUCAAAUCACUAAGAGUGAUGUUAAGAGUAGUUCUGGGGACAGUGAUCGCGAGCUAGGGCUGAAAUCCUGAAGGAUUCUAAGGACCUGGGAGUCUACAGAUGACUGGGGCAAGGACAGCAGCGUGCCUGGUAGGCUGAAGAACUCCUGCUGUGAGGGGGGAGCAGGGCCACAUGGGGUUUGGGGUUGGUGCGGUCAGCAGGAGCCAGACAAGGGGGCUUCACGGACCUUAUUAAAUAUUUUGGCUGUUAUUUUUAUUUAUUGAGAUAAAAUUUCAUGGAAUAAUAGUUGAUGAUUGUGAAAUCCAUGACCAGACCCCCCUGUCAAAUAUAUGCCCAGAUGCAAAUCCCAAAACCAGAUUUAAACUAGUCUCUGUAAAAUGAAGGACUGGUACUGGGUUCCAACUAUGGCUUCUCCCACACAUUCUAAAAUUCUACAAUGAGUUGCUUCUGUCUAGAUUGCUUUACUUUAUUUUCUUCGAUGAGUUGACAAUUAGUUUUAAGUCAUAAGUAAAGUCAAAGAAGAUUUAGUCUAAUUUUUGGUUUAUACUUGAUCAGGUUGUAUUCACCUGGUGACAACAACGGGUGAAUUUUUAGAGCUUCCCUAUACUACUCUUAUUUAUAUGCGUUAAGACCCAACAUCAAGAACCAUCAUAUUUGCAGAAUGUGAUUCAGAUACUCAUUGGCAUGUGGUACCUUCCAAAGUGCAGACAUAUGCAAAGCUUUUAAAGAAGAUUCUAGUUAAGAGAAAAAUAAGCAAGUUAAAAUAAUUAAAUUUUUUUUUUUCAGUUUGUUUAUUUGAGAGAGACAGAGGCAGUAUGAGUGCGGGAGGGACAGAGAGAGGACAGAGAGAAAAAUCCCAAGCAGGCUCCCCGUGGACAGCGCAGAGCCUGAUGCGGGCUCGAACUCAUGAAACCGCGAGAUCAUGACCUGUGCCAAAACCAAGAGUCAGACGCUGAACUGACUGAGCCGCCCAGGUGCCUCUAAAAUAAUUAAUUAUAAAGAAACUUCAGGUUUAGGGGCACCUGGGUGGCUCGGUCGGUUAGUCAUCUGACUUCGGCCCAGGUCAUGAUCUCACACUUUGUGAGUUGGAGGCCCGCAUCGGGUAGUGGGCUAUCAACACAGUGCCUGCUUCGGAUCCUCUGUCUCCCUCUCUCUUUGCCCCUCCCCUGCUCGUGCUCUCUCUCCCUCAAAAAUAAGUAAACAUUUUUUUAAAAAACUUAAAAAAAAAACUUCAGGUUUAGAUUUAUUAGAAUAAUAUGAACAAAUUAUCAGUUUUUUAUCAAUUAAAAUAAUGCUGUUAUUUGGGCUGAUUUAAAAAAAAAUUUUUUUUGGCACCUCUUCCUUGCUAAUUUCAUACGAUGGAACAUCUGCAGAAAUAAGAAUUAAAUGACUAAAUCAAAGUCUUCCUUUCGGAUUAACCACUCAGCAUCUUUCAUUUUUCUGAAUGGCUUAUGAUUUUUAUAAGAGCUGACUAUUUUUCACUAAAAUUUGCCCACUCUUAGGAAGUUUCUAGAUGGGAUUUAAGCUUGACUGGAUAAACAAUAAGUGUUCAAACACAUGCUGAUUUCUUCUAGAGUAAAUAGCUUGGAAAGUGCUUUGUAUAACAGGCAUGCAUCCAAUUUCCUUUUUAUCCUACUUUUCUCUUUGUAUCUCAGAAAUUUUAAAUGCUUUCCUCCAUCAAAUAAUACUUGCUAACAAGAAUAACUUACCACACGUCUGGGGUGACGUCACUCUGGGACCUCCAAGGGUAGGUUUCAUAAAUAGCUUCUCCAUUGACUUUUAGCCAGGUCCCCAUUUGCCUCAGUCGCUCCUCAAAAAUUACAGGAAUUGUGCCAUCAUAUGUGGGCCCAAUAUUCAUCAAAAGAUUUCCUCCACAUGAAACUGUCUCUACAAGUUCCUAAAAAAUUAAGAAUAAAGUUCUUAGGGAGAUGAAACGAUUCCAUGGCCAAUGUGUUAAUAAUAUGCUGUAUUUGUGUGCUUACACACUCAUAUGUAACCACUGUCCAGAAGAACAAACACAGCAAAUAGAAUAAUGUCCUGUGUUUACAGGCCCCUGAGCUCUACAAAUUAUACGAAGUAAUUCUCACACAUCCACACAAUUGAGAAUAUUACCUUAAUAGUCACCUAACAUUGUACUGUACCUUCACUAGUUCUUCGAUUGUAAGAUAGUCACUGAGUCUGGCAUCUCUCCUGUAACCCCAGGAAAACUUGUCUAUUGUCAUGCAAUUUUCCCAUUUAUGAGGCAGAAGAUGUCCUGGGUGGUAACGAUCACUGCAGGUAUAAUAGCCGCCAUGCUUACAGAUGGUACCGAGUCCCCAACGGUCAUUGGUGACGACUGUGUCCCGAACGGGGCUGAAAUAUAAUUUUUUUUAAUAAAGAAUAAAACAUUUUACAUAAAAGGAAAUGUCACUGAAAAGAAGUCUAACUGAAAUCCACUCCUGAAAAAUCAUCACAGCAUACUAGCAUAAUGCAAAGCCCAUAGUUUUGAAGUCAGACCUGGGUUGGUUGCAAUCCUGGCUCGGUCACUUUCUAAGCUCCCCGCCCCAGAGUCAGUGACCUAACUCCUCUGAAUAAUCUCAUCUGUUAUUAGAUCAGAAAUAAUUUAUGUAGGGGUGCUGGGGUGGCUCAGUCAGUUAAGUGUCCGGCUUUGGCUCAGAUCACGGUCUGGCAGUUUGUGGGUUUGAGGCCCACAUCAGCUCAGAGUCUGGAGCCUGCUUCAGAUCCUGUGUCUCCCUCUCUCUCUACCCCUCCCCCACUCACGCUCUCUGUCUCUCAAAAAUGAAUAAACGUUAAAAAAAAUUUUUUUAAGAGAGAAUUUAUGUAAAACACCUAGUCCUAGCCCAGUACCCAGCACAUACAGCACUUAAAAGAGUAUCACACUGUUAUUUGAAGCUCCUUCUCCCAUGUAUUAUGAAUGAUAGCCAGAAUUGAGUUUACACUCAAAAAAAAUAAAAAAGCGGGGGACUUCUGGGUGGCUCAGUUGGUUGAGCAUCCGACUUUGCCUCAAGUCACCAUCUCACGGCUCGUGGGAACGAGCCCUGCGUCGGGCUCUGUGCUGACAGCUCAGAGCCUGGAGCCUGCUUCAGAUACUAUCUCCCUCUCUCUGUUCCUCCCCAGCUCGCACUCUCUCUCUCUCAAAAAUAAACAUUAAAAUUUUUUUUUAAAAAACAUUCUUCUCACCUCUAACUGAAUAUAGCCUUUCUAUUACAAUUGUGCCUGAUGUUGAAAAUCUCUGGGAAGUUAACUUGCCAUCACUGUGGCAUGAAAUAAUCCCCACAAUGAUAUUAUCAUGAUUUACAAAUUGAAGUGGAUGGUUCCCAGUCUUUCCCCUUGGACAUACCUGGGCAGACUGCUGCCUUAAGUAUCAAGAGCUCUCCAGAGUAUCUGUAUGCACACCCCUUGUGUGUCCAGGGAACACAAGUACAACACUCCCUGAUUUCAUACCACAACACUGAGUAUUUUCUAGUUACAAAUAUAAAUUUGGUCACAAGGUUCAAGACUAACAGAGGAGCUCAGCCAGAACCCCCUGUUCUAAUGGGGCAGUCUGGAACAUGCUAGAAAGCAACAGGUGGUGCUGAUACGGGAAAAGAGGAGGCAGACAAGGGUGACAGUGACUGAGCAGCAAAGAUAUCAAAGAAGAUGAAAAGAAGCAAUUAGAGGAAUUGACAAGCACAUAAUCACAAACAGUGAUGAACUGUUGUCUCAGAAGGGGAAAGGGGGGACCCACAAAUUAACAUCUUCAAAGUUCUUGAUUCUGUGAUUUUAUCUUUUUUUUUUCAGUGAUUUCAAAUUUUUAGUGGUUUUUAGUGAUUUCAAAAUCAGAUCUGAGUUGUAUUUGGCUCCUGAUUUGUAAGUCUUGAUUACUGACUGAUUACUUGGAGUAAAAAUUGAUAUAUCUAGGGGCACCUGGAUAGCUCAGUCAGUUAAGUAUCUGACUUCAGCUCAGGUCAUGAUCUCAUGGUUUGUGAGUUUGAGCCCCACAUUGGGCUCUCUGCUGUCAGCACAGAGCCCACUUCAGAUCCUCUGUCCCCCUCUCUCUGCCUCUCUCUUUCUCUCAAAAAUAAACAUUAAAAAGACCUGAUAUAUCUAAUAAGCAUUAUUUACAAUGAUUUCCCCCUGCCUCACACCAUAGAUAAGCCCAAAAGGGAAUAUUUCACAAAGCAAGGGAACGCAUGUAUGAGGGACAUUUUGGGUCACCAUGGCGAUCUAAUAGCACAUACACCUUUGGUUAUACAGCCAGGCUAAGAAGACCGUGCUGUUCCAGUAGUCAUCAGGGGCAUCUCCAUCACCAUCUGACCACAGGACCUCCGGCUGAUACUUGUUCACUAGCUCGUAGAGUUCUGGCAGCGUCUUGGAAACUGGAAAUUGUUGCUGAUGGAAUGACCUGGACUUAUCCUCAAGGAAGAGUGGAUGAAACCAUUCAAAGAGGGAAUAGUACAGUCCAAAGCGAAGGUCAGUCCUGU